GAUGAACGCUGGCGGCGUGCCUAAUACAUGCAAGUCGAGCGAACAGAUGAGGAGCUUGCUCCUCUGACGUUAGCGGCGGACGGGUGAGCAACACGUGGAUAACCUACCUAUAAGACUGGGAUAACUUCGGGAAACCGGAGCUAAUACCGGAUAAUAUAUUGAACCGCAUGGUUCAAUAGUGAAAGACGGUUUUGCUGUCACUUAUAGAUGGAUCCGCGCCGCAUUAGCUAGUUGGUAAGGUAACGGCUUACCAAGGCAACGAUGCGUAGCCGACCUGAGAGGGUGAUCGGCCACACUGGAACUGAGACACGGUCCAGACUCCUACGGGAGGCAGCAGUAGGGAAUCUUCCGCAAUGGGCGAAAGCCUGACGGAGCAACGCCGCGUGAGUGAUGAAGGUCUUCGGAUCGUAAAACUCUGUUAUUAGGGAAGAACAAAUGUGUAAGUAACUAUGCACGUCUUGACGGUACCUAAUCAGAAAGCCACGGCUAACUACGUG
Molecule: ribosomal RNA, 497 nt
Filed under: uncultured bacterium
Lineage: Bacteria
Description: partial 16S ribosomal RNA
Rfam family: Bacterial small subunit ribosomal RNA
Source: RNAcentral